CAGCCGCCGCGGUAAUACGAAGGGGGCUAGCGUUGCUCGGAAUGACUGGGCGUAAAGGGCGCGUAGGCGGUUCGUACAGUUGGAUGUGAAAUUCCUGGGCUUAACCUGGGGGCUGCAUUCAAUACGUGCGGGCUUGAGUGUGGAAGAGGGUUGUGGAACUCCCAGUGUAGAGGUGAAAUUCGUUGAUAUUGGGAAGAACACCGGUGGCGAAGGCGGCAACCUGGUCCAUAACUGACGCUGAGGCGCGAAAGCGUGGGGAGCAAACAGGAUUAGAUACCCCCGUAGUCCCUGUCUCUUAUAC
This 301-nucleotide ribosomal RNA is filed under the name uncultured bacterium. Its description in RNAcentral is "partial 16S ribosomal RNA". It matches the Rfam family "Bacterial small subunit ribosomal RNA", at positions 509 to 807 of the family's 1533-position model. The record is from RNAcentral.